Molecule: long non-coding RNA, 3313 nt
Filed under: Zostera marina
Lineage: Eukaryota; Viridiplantae; Streptophyta; Magnoliopsida; Alismatales; Zosteraceae
Description: long non-coding RNA (ZMAR_LNC005717)
Source: RNAcentral
CAACUAAAAAUACGAAAUCAACACAAUCAGACCUUAUUAUCGCUACAAGGAAUGAUAUGUAAAAAAUUAUCCCUAAAAAUCAACACAAUCAUUCAACCAAUCAAUAUCCCUAAAAAUUAUCCAUUCAAUAACCAACAAAACAUACAAUUCAUACAAUUCAUGUUAUUCAAAACAAAACUAAACCAAAAGAUAAAAGAAGAGGAACCUAUUUGUUGUUGUCAGUCACGCUAUUCGUCCCACUUUUAGUCGGACUUUGAGUCGCUUUUUUGCCAACAUUUUCGGCAUUUGAAUCUCUUGUAGUAGGCGUGGCGAUGUUGUCGCGUCCUUGGCUCGACUGACCCUAAUGUAAAAAAAAAUUGAAAUUACAAAGAAAAUAUGAAUAUUGAUUUUUAUAUAAAUGUUAAUUACCUCAAUCGUCUCUCGACGUAAGUCUUCCCUUAGUUCCUUUAGUAUAUCCGGCAACUGUUUCCUAAUGGCCUCUUGAACUGCCUAAUCAAAGUCUUCUUUACUUUUUUGUUGUUGAAUUUCUAUAUAAUUCGUCGUUGUGUUCUGUGAAGUCGUCAUAUUAUCAGGAAUUGGUAAUGGCAUUGGAUCACUUGCUCUGGUUCCAAGAACACGACCUUUUGCCAAUUUCUUUGCCUCUUGUCUCGCUUUAUACAACCAACAUGUAUAAUUUAAUUGGACAUAGUUAUCAAAACAUUCACGAGCCAAUUGAAUGUCCUCAAAUGAGAAAUAGCACUACAUAAAGACGAAAACAUUACAUAUUGAAAAAAAUGACAUAUGGAAAAAAUGACAAAUAAAUAAAUAAAUCAUACCAGAAAUUUGACGAAAAUAUUUUCCUUUUCUUCUUCUUUCCAAGAAGUCCAUUUAGUUAAAGGUGACGUUAUAUUACCUUUUACUAAUAUUCCUAUUUGACUUCUUACAUUGUUUGUAAAAGUCCUAUAAAAAACAAUCAAAUUAAAUAAUAAAUUAUAAUGAAUUAUAAUGAAAAUUAAUACUCACCCGCUCUUAAGAAUAGUGGCGGGAGUUGGUGCAUCCGGUUGUCUCAAUCCUUUUGUCCAUUUUCUUCGAUGUUCUUCAUCGAAGCGGUCCUCUACGAUUUCUUCAUCUAUUCUUGCAGAUUGUGAUCGUCCGUCGUUUGUUCGUUUACGACUCCGUCCGCGUGCCAUUUCUAAUGCUUAGUAUAUGCUUUUAGAUCCAACAAAACAAAAGGCAAUUAUAUGUAUAUGUAUAAGUUUUUAUUAUAAGUAUAGAUGAUGUAAUGCAGAGAAAAGAGAAAUCUAUGUUUUUUUUACCCUAUCACUAUAUCAGUAACAUAUUUUGAACAUAUUGAUAAUAGAAACAUAUUUUGAACAGAGAAAUUAUAAUAGAAACAAAUGAACAGAUUUUGAACAUAUUGGGUCAAACAAGAGAAUUUUUUUAGGGAUUUUACAUAUUUUUUAGGGAUUAAACAAAUCGUGGACAAACAAAUGAACAAAUCGUGGAUUUAUAAACAGAUCUAUUUUUGUCCCAAACCAAACUAAAAGAAAAUAAGAAUAGAAUACACAUUACCGUGUAGGAUGGGAGUGCCGGAGUGGAGAUCGACUUGUGAAGUACAGGGAUUUAGCAAAUCACUGCCGAGAUUAGGGAUUUAACGUCGCCGUUGCCGGAAGAAUUCGACGUGAGAAAGAAAUAUCUGCCGGAAAAAAUAUCCACCUUUGAGUUUCCUUUUACAAGUGGAAUGAAGAUCGAGUGUGAGUUUAGUACCAACACCUGCGAAUUUGGAAUAAACUAUAUCAAAUUAGCAAAUAAUUAAAUUAAUUGUUUCAAGUUCCACAUUAAUAUGAGGUGGGGUGAGUUCAGAGAAGGAGAGGGAUUUGCUUAUUUCAGAUCAACUACAUAUUUAAGAAAGUUAACCUAGUAGUUAUUCACAAUAUUACAAUUUAUUAGUUUAUUAUUGUAUUUUUUACUAAAUUAAUACUGAAUUUCAGUACUCUUAGAAAUAUUCACAAUAUUCACAAUUUCACAAUAUUUCAGUACUCUUAGAAAUAAGGGUAGCAAUUCAGUAUUGUCACUCCGGAAGCUCCACAGUAUGGUUCUAGAAGGUAUCAAACUUGAUGUCUUCACAUUUCCUUGUGUUCUUAAAACAUGUGGAAGUCUAAAAUUUCAAAGCAUGGGGAAUCAAUUUCACUCCACUGUGAUGAAAUCUGGGUGCGAAUCUGAGCCUCUUGUUGGAUCAGCACUCAUUGAUAUGUACUCAAAGUGUGGUUCGAUUGGCGAAGCAAAAAAGCUUUAUGAUGGAUAUAGAGGAACUGGUUUCCAGUUGCUAGCCGUUUCAAACUCAAUGAUCUCUGGUUUUUCCAGUAAUAACCACAACAUUCCUGCACUUAAUCUUCUCUCCAAAAUACACAGAUCAGGAUUAGUUCUUGAUGAAUUCACUCUUUCCAGUGGUUUGAAGGUUUGCAGUAAAUUGCAGAAUUGGAAUCCAAAUGCAUGGUAUAAUUGUGGUGUAUGGGUAUCAUCUUGACCAUAUUGUAGGAAGUGUUCUUGUAGACCUAUACUUGAAUUGUGGAAGCUUCAACAAGGCCAUGGCGAUUUUUACAGGUCUUCCUCAUAAAGAUGUAGUCACUUGGUGUGGAUUCAUCAGUGGUUGUGUUCAGUAUGGAUUGAAUCAUUUAGCAUUCUAUCUAUUCAAAUUAAGUUAUGCUCGAAUUGGGUAUCAAACCAGAUCACUUUGUUUUAUCAAGUGUUCUAAAAUCGUGCUCUAAUCUAGCAGGGAGUCCUCAUUCCCACGGAAAGCAAAUUCAUGGGUACAGAGUUAAAAAAGGUUUUGAAAUAGAAUCUGCAAUGACAACAUCUCUGAUUGAUAUGUACUCAAAAUGUGGCGAAAUUGACAGCAGUCUAACUUUGUUUCGAGCUGUGAAUGGUGUGCUCGACACACUGUGCUGGACAGCCAUAAUUGCAGGGUGUGGGCAAAAUGGAAAGGAGAAAGAAGCAAUUGGAUAUUUUGGGGAAAUGUUAAGCUCAGGUGUGCAAGACAGGAAGUAAACGGUGAAGGAACUCUUACCUGGAAGUUGCCGGAAUGGACUGGAGGUAUCGCCCGCUGCUCGCCGGAUGGAAGUAUUUCCCUCACCGCAGCUCGCCGGAUGGAAGUAUCACCCUCACCGGACAGGUCGCUCGUCAGAAGUUGGAAUCGUCGUUGGUCAGAAAUCAGAAACGGGAGUGGGAGAAAAUCACAAACGGGAGUGGGAGAAAAAUUGAUGAGGGGAACUCGUUUGCCGUUGGGAGGGAAUGGGGGGGGGGUUUUGGGAUUUUGGGAUAGUUUUAAUUUAGG